This 2739-nucleotide unclassified non-coding RNA is filed under the name Leishmania donovani. RNAcentral describes it as "gene:LdHU3.08.0750(CDS-product:DnaJ_domain_contai ning_protein_putative)". Lineage: Eukaryota; Euglenozoa; Kinetoplastea; Trypanosomatida; Trypanosomatidae. The record is from RNAcentral.
GAAGAAGGAGUGCACGUUUUCCUGUAGACCCGGCACACCACACAUUCCGCCCUGAAACGCGUGCACGCGCACGCGGUCCACCGUCCCUCCACCUUCGAGGCCUUCACCACAAGGCAUACACACAGUUUGCCAGUGCGCGUGUGCGCGUCGGUGAAGCUUGCCGCAGCCGCUCCCUCCCCCCUCCCCUCCAAACGCACCCCUUCUUGCUCGCUUCUUUUUGUAUUCGUCGCUUCGUUCCUUCGGCUUCUUACUUGCCUCUGUGCCUCCCCGCCCCGCCACCUCUCGCUCUCUCUCGCACUGCACGCCUCGCCCACUCAGACGUACCGCUCACAAACGCGAGCAGCACCCAACCACAGCGCUGCUGCGCACGUGGUGUCGUCGCCUUCCUGCGUGUAGGUGUGCCGGCCGGCCUGGGGUUUGUGCGUGGGCUAUCACUUGCUACGUGUUCUCGUGGUGUGUCGGCUCCGUGUUUUCAUUGUGCUGAAGGGGGUGUUGCCACCCGCUGCACGUCCCCUGCUUCUCUGUCGGUGCGGCUGCUUCCCCAUCGCCGCUGCGCGGCGCGCACAGCGCUGCUGCGGCUGCGAAGAAGUUUUUCUUGCGCAGGGGCUCGUGGCCUCCCUUCCCCCCUCCCGCACUGUUGUUGCUGCUGCCUUUCUACGCCUGCGGCUCCGUUCGACGCAGCUCACCGUCGAACUUGAACGUCAUCACACACACACACACACACACACACGAACGCCGCUGAGCUCUCCGCUGCAGCCAUGCAGACCUUCUACGACGUCCUCAGCGUGCCGAUGAGCGCCUCACAAGACGAGAUUUGGCACGCGUACCGGCGUCUGCUCGUCCGCUGCCACCCGGACCGCUGCUACCACGACAACGACAGCGUCGCGUACAACACGACCCGUGAACUGGAUGAGGUGCGGACGAACCUUCUGAGCAAGGCGUACAAGGUACUCUCCAACCCGCAAAGGCGGAGCGAGUAUGACGCCUAUCUCACCCGACAGCUGAGGAGCAACUCCUCUGUAUAUCACCAGCCUCCCCAGCAGGUCCGUCGUUCGCAAGGCACAGCGCAGCCGCAAGUGUUCGCGUUCGGUGGCGGCGCCAACCGGAGCGUAAGUCGUAUGGCAGGGCUGGUGAAGGCAAUGAUGACAACGGCGGUGGACGGCAACGCCGCGCCAGCCACGGCAGGCGCCGCGCCUGCUUCCGGGCAGCCCAUCUCCACAGAGGAAGGAGCCCGUAGGGGUGCCGUGCAUCCGCAAUAUGCGAACCCCAUGACACGAGCGUUGGGCACCUCGUUCGGUGUGGCAGGAGAAGCGACCGCGACCGUGCCGGAGGGCGGCGCGAACUUUGCGAAGUCGCCGUCAUCGAGCACGCCGUCAUCCGUGUCGAUUGUAUACACGGACUCCGUGUCGGUGCGCGCCAUCAAGGCAGGUCCCCGUACGGUGGGUCUCGUGGUCGUCACUGAUGGUGGAGUUGCACCAGGCACCCCGGCCUCCACAGAAACGCCGGAGGCCCCUCCGCAGCAGCAGCAGCAGCAGCAGCAGGAGCAGGCGCAGCCGUCCGCAGCGGCAGCAGCCGCGAUUCCUUCUGCUGUGUCAGACGUCCACCUGCCGCUCCGGAUCCGCGUCAUUGAAGAGCAUCUGGUACUCUGAGUGUGACAGUGGCAAAUUCAUCGCCUCCUCUCCCCCCUCCCCGCCACUACGCUCGCACACGCGCAAACCAUAUUCCCCUGCGUUGAUGCUGCUCGCCCUCUCUCCAAUCUGCAAGAGGCAGAUUCCCCACCAUUCCGUACAUCAGGAAAGGAAAGGAUGGUGGCGGCGGGGGCGGACGCGGUGAUGGCAGUGGUGGACGCAGGGGGCGCACAGCCGAUUGGACUCGCCACUCUUUUUCCUUGGCCCUUCUCGUUUAGCACACAUGUUUUGUUUCUCUUCUUUAGCUCUCGCUGCGCUCCUCCUCUGCGUGAAUGGCUGGCCAUGUAGGACGAGGUGUGCAUGCGCGUGUUGAUGUCUGCCACUGCAAGACGAGCGCAUCUCCGUCGUAGUCUCCCUAUCUCUCUGCCUUUCAAUUCGGCACGGCUCACGUUAUUGCUGCAUCUUCCGGUGCCCCUCGCGUGGAUGUCGACUCUCUCACACACAUAUCACCCUCACUCGACCCCCUCCUUUGUGUUCUAUUCAGAACUUUCCUUUUCCUUCUUCCUCCAGGUUCUGCACAAUGUGGGCCCUGCAUGUGCCCACACGCAAAACCAGGCGUGCGCACGAAGACACAAUAUCGAUGCGCCCCCCCCCUUUUUUUGACGCCUCUCUUCCUCAACUUGUGUGUCUCUAUGCGUCCCGGCGUCCCUCUGUCUGUGUUCCGGUAUCUGCGUGUCUGUGAUAGAAGGGAGUUAGGGGGAAAAGAAGUGGCUUCGCCGUGCGAGUGUUGGCCGGACUCGUUGACGUACACCAAGCAAGCCCCUAUGGCCGCGAACGCGCCCACGCACUGGCGGCAUGCAUGCGUGGAUAUACGGCUUCCUCUGCCGUCACCUCUGCAAAACCGUUGUCAGUGUUGCUGUCUCUAUCCUGUGCACGUGCAUGUGCACACACGAGCCGCUCUUCAGCCCCUUUCGUUUUCUUCACGAUCCUCUUCUCCUUUUUCUUGUUGUUUGGCUGCGGCUUCGUUUGCUCUCACCCACGUCGUGUGUGUAUGUGUGUGUGCUCUUUCCUUCGAAGGCGUUCUUCCGGCUCCCUAGCCCCCCCCUCACCC